This 264-nucleotide ribosomal RNA is filed under the name uncultured bacterium. RNAcentral's name for it is "partial 16S ribosomal RNA". It matches the Rfam family "Bacterial small subunit ribosomal RNA", at positions 75 to 339 of the family's 1533-position model. The record is from RNAcentral. RNAcentral also lists the same sequence under 1 other name.
CUUGCUUCUGAUGAAAGUUAGUGGCGGACGGGUGAGUAACGCGUGAGCAACUUGCCUUUGCGCGGGGGAUAACACUUGGAAACGGGUGCUAAUACCGCAUAACGUAUACUGAAGGCAUCUUCGGGAUAUCAAAGAUUUAUUGCGCAAAGAUGGGCUCGCGUCUGAUUAGCUUGUUGGUGAGGUAACGGCUCACCAAGGCGACGAUCAGUAGCCGGACUGAGAGGUUGAACGGCCACAUUGGAACUGAGAUACGGUCCAGACUCC